Molecule: ribosomal RNA, 551 nt
Filed under: Pollachius virens (saithe)
Lineage: Eukaryota; Metazoa; Chordata; Actinopteri; Gadiformes; Gadidae
Description: partial 16S ribosomal RNA
Rfam family: Bacterial large subunit ribosomal RNA
Source: RNAcentral
AUAAGAGGUCCCGCCUGCCCUGUGACUAUAAGUUUAACGGCCGCGGUAUUUUAACCGUGCGAAGGUAGCGUAAUCACUUGUCUUUUAAAUGAAGACCUGUAUGAAUGGCAUCACGAGGGCUUAGCUGUCUCCCAUCUCCAGUCAAUGAAAUUGACCUCCCCGUGCAGAGGCGGGGAUGCUUACAUAAGACGAGAAGACCCUAUGGAGCUUUAGACCUAAGGUAAGUCACGUUUAAUGUGCUGUGAUAACAGUGGAAACUUAGUGAUAAUUACUGAAGUGUUUUUGGUUGGGGCGACCGCGGGGUAAAACACAACCCCCAUGUGGACCGGGGAUAUUAUCCCUAAUACUCAGAGCCUCUACUCCAAGUAACAGAAAUUCUGACUUUUCUGAUCCGGUAUAACCGAUCAACGAACCGAGUUACCCUAGGGAUAACAGCGCAAUCCCCUCUCAGAGCCCAUAUCGACGAGGGGGUUUACGACCUCGAUGUUGGAUCAGGACAUCCUAAUGGUGCAGCCGCUAUUAAGGGUUCGUUUGUUCAACGAUUAAAGUCC